RNAcentral lists this ribosomal RNA (1155 nucleotides) under Macrococcus brunensis. RNAcentral describes it as "bacterial SSU rRNA". It matches the Rfam family "Bacterial small subunit ribosomal RNA", at positions 28 to 1168 of the family's 1533-position model. Lineage: Bacteria; Bacillati; Bacillota; Bacilli; Caryophanales; Staphylococcaceae. The record is from RNAcentral.
GAUGAACGCUGGCGGCGUGCCUAAUACAUGCAAGUCGAGCGAAUUGACAGAGGUGCUUGCACCUCUCGAUUUUAGCGGCGGACGGGUGAGUAACACGUGGGUAACCUACCUAUAAGACUGGGAUAACUUCGGGAAACCGGAGCUAAUACCGGAUAAUAUUUAGCUUCGCAUGAAGCAAUAGUGAAAGACGGUUCUGCUGUCACUUAUAGAUGGACCUGCGGUGUAUUAGCUAGUUGGUGAGGUAACGGCUCACCAAGGCAACGAUACAUAGCCGACCUGAGAGGGUGAUCGGCCACACUGGGACUGAGACACGGCCCAGACUCCUACGGGAGGCAGCAGUAGGGAAUCUUCCGCAAUGGACGAAAGUCUGACGGAGCAACGCCGCGUGAGUGAAGAAGGUUUUCGGAUCGUAAAACUCUGUUGUAAGGGAAGAACAAGUACGUUAGUAACUGAACGUACCUUGACGGUACCUUACCAGAAAGCCACGGCUAACUACGUGCCAGCAGCCGCGGUAAUACGUAGGUGGCAAGCGUUAUCCGGAAUUAUUGGGCGUAAAGCGCGCGUAGGCGGUCUCUUAAGUCUGAUGUGAAAGCCCCCGGCUCAACCGGGGAGGGUCAUUGGAAACUGGGAGACUUGAGUACAGAAGAGGAGAGUGGAAUUCCAUGUGUAGCGGUGAAAUGCGCAGAGAUAUGGAGGAACACCAGUGGCGAAGGCGGCUCUCUGGUCUGUAACUGACGCUGAGGUGCGAAAGCGUGGGGAUCAAACAGGAUUGGAUACCCUGGUAGUCCACGCCGUAAACGAUGAGUGCUAAGUGUUGGGGGGGUUUCCGCCCCUCAGUGCUGCAGCUAACGCAUUAAGCACUCCGCCUGGGGAGUACGGUCGCAAGACUGAAACUCAAGGAAUUGACGGGGACCCGCACAAGCGGUGAGCAUGUGGUUUAAUUCGAAGCAACGCGAGAACCUUACCAAAUCUUGACAUCCUUUGACAACUCUAGAGAUAGAGCUUUCCCUUCGGGACAAAGUGACAGGUGGUGCAUGAUGUCGUCAGCUCGUGUCUGAGAAUGUUGGGUAGUUCCCGCCACGAGCGCCAACCCUAUCUUUAGUGGCAUCAUUAAGCUGGUACCUCUAAAGACCUGCCCGGGUGACAAAACCGGAC